AUUGAUUUGCCCCCAAACAGAGCCUAGUGGCGCAAGCCUGGUAUCACUUUUGAGUGAACCGCUCGAUCAACACUAAACAAAAUCAGGGCAAGU
RNAcentral lists this non-coding RNA (93 nucleotides) under Legionella longbeachae D-4968. RNAcentral describes it as "RAGATH-13 RNA". It matches the Rfam family "RAGATH-13 RNA". Lineage: Bacteria; Pseudomonadati; Pseudomonadota; Gammaproteobacteria; Legionellales; Legionellaceae. The record is from Rfam by way of RNAcentral.